AUUAUAGUAGGAAUCUAAAUCCAUGGUGUAAAAAAAAGGAAAAAAAAAACCUUAAUUUCAAAAUUUAUGAAAUUUCUUCUUUUUUGGGGACUUCUGUUAUAAGAUGAAGAUGAUACUCAGAUAUUAGUGGAUGUGGGUGUAUGAGGAGUAAGCGGAGAAGACGGGCAGAGGAGGCAGCGCGAAGUAAAUCGGGGCGUCGGAGAGAGAGACAAAAUGGAGAGCCAGGCUGGAGACUUGGAG
This 240-nucleotide long non-coding RNA is filed under the name Olea europaea subsp. europaea. Lineage: Eukaryota; Viridiplantae; Streptophyta; Magnoliopsida; Lamiales; Oleaceae. The record is from RNAcentral.